This 157-nucleotide non-coding RNA is filed under the name uncultured Megasphaera sp. Lineage: Bacteria; Bacillati; Bacillota; Negativicutes; Veillonellales; Veillonellaceae. The record is from RNAcentral.
GGUGUCGCAAGACUCAAUAGAUAAGUCCGGUUGGAUGCCGGCGCGGUCCCGCCGCUGUAGGGAGGAGCUGUACUGCAAGUAUGUCACUGUGCCCCGUGCGGGUAUGGGAAGGCGCAGUACAGCUAUGAAUCCGAGCCAGAAGAACUGCCUGAUGGAU